This 496-nucleotide ribosomal RNA is filed under the name uncultured bacterium. Its description in RNAcentral is "partial 16S ribosomal RNA". It matches the Rfam family "Bacterial small subunit ribosomal RNA", at positions 28 to 506 of the family's 1533-position model. The record is from RNAcentral.
GAUGAACGCUGGCGGCGUGCCUAAUACAUGCAAGUCGAGCGAACGGACGAGAAGCUUGCUUCUCUGAUGUUAGCGGCGGACGGGUGAGUAACACGUGGAUAACCUACCUAUAAGACUGGGAUAACUUCGGGAAACCGGAGCUAAUACCGGAUGAUAUUUUGAACCGCAUGGUUCAAAAGUGAAAGACGGUCUUGCUGUUACUUAUAGAUGGAUCCGCGCUGCAUUAGCUAGUUGGUAAGGUAACGGCUUACCAAGGCAACGAUGCAUAGCCGACCUGAGAGGGUGAUCGGCCACACUGGAACUGAGACACGGUCCAGACUCCUACGGGAGGCAGCAGUAGGGAAUCUUCCGCAAUGGGCGAAAGCCUGACGGAGCAACGCCGCGUGAGUGAUGAAGGUCUGCGGAUCGUAAAACUCUGUUAUUAGGGAAGAACAUAUGUGUAAGUAACUGUGCACAUCUUGACGGUACCUAAUCAGAAAGCCACGGCUAACUACGU